Tachysurus fulvidraco (yellow catfish) is the source of this 381-nucleotide long non-coding RNA. RefSeq lists it as uncharacterized. The record is from RefSeq and is a predicted model, not a curated record. The transcript is spliced from 3 exons. NCBI's taxonomy places the organism in Eukaryota, Metazoa, Chordata, Actinopteri, Siluriformes, Bagridae.
UCUGAUGGACUGAAGAAUCCACAAUGUACACUGGAGAUACUGAGGAUGUAUAACUGCAAUAUUACAGAUGAAGGUUGUGCUGCUCUGGCUUCAGCUCUGAGGUCAAACUCCUCAUCACACCUGAGAGAACUGUUACUGAACAAUAAUAAUCCAGGAAAAUCAGGAAUGAAGCUGCUCUCUGAUCUACUGAAGGAUCCACACUGUAAACUGGAGACACUACACAUUGAGGAUAAGACACUCACCAGGACUAGUUUAUGACAGGAGUCUCUCCUCAGACCUUUUUUCCAGGAUAAAGCAGUUAUGGUGGUGAAGCGUUAGAACACGUCCCACAUUUCCAGCAGUUUGGGAGCUGAAUCAUUCAUAUUCAGAUGUAGAAGAUCC